Long non-coding RNA from Acinonyx jubatus (cheetah), 5768 nucleotides. RefSeq lists it as uncharacterized. The transcript has 2 exons. The record is from RefSeq and is a predicted model, not a curated record. NCBI's taxonomy places the organism in Eukaryota, Metazoa, Chordata, Mammalia, Carnivora, Felidae.
GCUGCAGGGAAACGGGUGGGACCCGCACGCGCUGGGGACGGGCUGAGGCCCUGGAGACUCCCCAGCGAGGCUGAGGACGGGCCCUGAGAGCAGGUGGACCCCGGCCGAGGCAGAGCUGCCGGCUCCCCGGGCGCGGGGAGGGGGGCUUCCCCUGCCAAGCUUCAUCCUCCGGGGCAGUCGUGGCCGGGAGGGCCGAGGAAGGGGCGUCGCGAGCACCAGCACCGCCUGCCCUGCGCUGACGCAUGACUCAUCCGUUCCGGGUCAGCAAACAUCCGCCUGCAAAGGCUUCCCCCCUCACAGGGCGUGGGGCGCAAACACCCCGCCCCGCUGACUUCCCAGAGGGCCCGGCUCGCCGGCCCUACCUUGUCCCCCAGGCCCGGCUGUCCGAGGUCCAACCCCCACCUUUCCGGGGCCAGGGUGCCCCCUCGGGGGAGGGGCUGGAGUUGGCCUGGCCCCUGCCUCUCCUCUUCCCCCGGAGGUGUCAAACUCGGGGCCUCGGGGUCCCUCCCGUUCCCCGGACCUCCGCCAGGGCCACCUGAGUCCGCCGCGCGGCGCUGCCAACGUGUGAUUCUCUGGAAGGAGGGCGGGGCCGCGCGCACAGCUGGUCGAGGGGCAGGUGGCGCCUCUCGCCGGGGCUCCCCGGGGGCUCCGAGCGCUUUAUCUGGUGCGGGCAGACGCUCGUUCUGACCUUGUCCUUCCUGCGGCGUCCGCCUGGCAGGUACAGACAGACACACGGGGGGGUCUCCCUCCCUCCUGGCGCUGCAGGUGGCGCAGGCCACCCACUCACGCGGCGCUCAUGAGACUCACGCGCCCGCGCACGUGACCUGGUGUGUGCCUCGCGUGGGGCGCCCGGGUGCCCGCGUCCCGCCGCUCACCUGGCCGAUCCCUUAGCGAGGACGUGGCCGCCUCACCUUUUGCUGUCACCACCGGCGCCCCCGCGAUGAGCCGCGCACGCCCCAGGUCUCACACGUGGGCAGGUGCACCUGUGGCAGCCAGCCCUGGGAGGGGGGAGGCCGGGUCUGGGGACGGGCAGGGUCUCCGGGGAAGGAGCCCCCGGAUUCCGCUCCUGCACCCCCACCAUCAGCCGUGCCCGCCUGCUCCCCACGCCUUGCCUGACGGCGACGCCUGAUUCUGGAUUCUGAUGGCUGCGAAAUGGGAUUUCGAUACCGUGUUAACGUGCACCGCUCUGAUCACACACAGCUUUCUCUGUGUUUGUCAUUUUGUGUUUUUUUCCUGAGGGAUCUGUUCAUAUCCUCUGCCCCUUUUUAUCGCUUCCUUUUAUAAUCCUAGGAGCCUUUUGUAGAUCAGGGAGAUAGACCUUUGCGAUGUGGGUUGCCAAUAUUUUUCCCUAGUGUAUACUUUGUGUUGUGACUUCGCUUAUGGUGAUUUUUGCCUUAAAUCUUUUUGAGUGUGUCUGGGGGUUUAUUUUAUUUUAUUUUAGAGAGAAAGAGCAGGUGAGCAGGAGAGAGGGGCAGAGAGAGAGAGAGAGAGAGAAUCCCAAGCAGGCUCCGGGCUGUCCUUGCAAAGCCUGACGUGAGGUGUGAACUCACAAACUGUGAGAUCAUGACCCGAGCUGAAACCAAGGGUCGGACGCUUAACUGACUGGGCCACCCAGGCGCCCCAAGAUUUCCAUUUUCACCACUUUUAAGCACACAGCUGAGUGGCACCCAGUACGUUCUCGUUGUUGUGCAAGCGUUUCCACAGUCCAUUUCCAGAAGGUUUUCAUCACUUACCGGCUUCUUCUUAAAAACGUCAGGUCUCUGGUCCAUUGGAAAUGUACAAUACUGAUGUGCAGUGAGGACCUCUUUUUGCAAAUGGUCGUCACGCUGUUUCUACAUGACUCAUUGAAAAACCCACCCUCCUUCUAUUUUACUGAGCCCGUUUUACAGUUGGGGAAACUGAGGCCAGGACUGUGCAGUGAGGAGUGCCCGGGUCACACCUGCACCCUCCACCUCGUCCCAGCCGCCCAGGGUCCGGCUCUUCCUGCCUUCGGGGAGCUGAUGUGGGAGAACCUCGGAGCUGCUCUCAGAAACCAAACGUUCUAGAAGACGCUGAGGUCCAGAUAGGGGAAAGUGGACGCGAGGAACCAAAUCGUUCACAACCCGAGGGGCCGGCAGCCCCAGCUUUCCUCUGAGGAGGCCCCUUGCACAUCUGAGGGGACGUCGGGGCGGGGGUGGGGGAUCGACCCUGGAGCGAUGGGCCGGUGUUGAGGUGGUCAGCAAACACCCGUGUGCCCGUUUAGCCCCCAAGGCCCGGCACGCCCAGUGAAAACGAGGUCGCUCAGGAAGAGGCCCAUUUCUCCAGGCGGCUUCCUGAAUGCCAAGCCACGCUGCGGCGCUAACCGUGGACCACAGGCCCACAAACUUCCUGGCACUUUCUCCUGCCUGUUUCCUAGAAUCCCCCCCACAAGGCAACUGAGGCUCUUGAACGCCCCUCAGCAGGUGCAGCCGUGCCCACGGGAGGCCUGUGGUCGCCCCCAGAGCCCUGGCGAGUUUCCUCCACUCUUCGUCCGGAACUCAGACGUGCAGCCUCGUUGAGGCAGCUCGCUUUUUCUGCAAGACGGACCCAGGAACGGUCAAGGGGCUCGGCCUCCCAUCCUAGUGCUGGGGGGGGGGGGGUGGCGUUGGUGGGCUGGCGGGCCACGUGACUUGGGAGGCGCCAGAUAUCCCUACCUAACAGAAGUAAAUAAAACCAACGGAUGGCCAAAGCCGUCAUUAUUGAGUUUGUUGUGUAUACACCGAAAAGACAGUUGGCAAAGCCGGGAACACUCAAACCAAAACACAGAAGGGGGCUCGGGGGGUGUCCUUAGGGAGCGGCUUCUAUGGUGAGAAAGCACAGUGUUCAUUCUCCACAGGGUUUGGUUUUCGUAUCAGAAUUUUCCUAAACGGCAGGGAAUUGGUUAGCGGUCCUCUCACAUCAACCUCGGGAAAGAGAGGAAGCUUUGCUCUGAUUUUCAGAGGCACAAUCAAGAAAUGACUUGGGUCAACUUAGCCUUGCAAAAUCCGCUACCUUAGCUUCGUUGGUAUGACCAAACUGGUGGUGUCUGUUCAGGGAGUUUGCAAGGGGAUUGGUCCUAAUGGGUACCAUUCGGCACACCAGGAGCUGCCUACUGCAUUUCAAACCCUGGAGAGUGUACAAGGUACUGGAGAGGCCAGCAUGAUGACCGUAAGGGCAGCAAUACCCGAGGACUGAAAAGUUCCCCGGAGCCGAGGUUCCCAGGAGCGAAGAUGUCACAAUUCAAAUACAUUAAAUGCGUUAUAUUUUUUUAAAGUUAUUUUUCAAAAGCAUGCAUAAUGUCUUAACAGUCGCAUCGCCCAACAGUUGCUUAGGACACGGUGAACUUGAGGGUGUUGGCCAGUGCUUCAGUUGGGCUCCAUCUAAAUCAGGUCUCUAUACGACACGAGCGAGCGGGUAGUUUAACGACAGAGAUUUCUACGGCAACAAAAGAAAAAGGUUAAUACUUCAAGCAAAUUACAAAUUCAGUUUCUGAGUUUGGAGAGCGGCCAGUUGAGUUUGCAGACGUCGGGGUUGGAGACUCUUCAGAUGAGGCGAGAGCAGGGCAGUGGUGAUCUGACCCGUUUCUCUGGCUUGCAGCAUGAAUGUGCCUGGGGAUCUUUCCAAGUAGUCACACGGCCCCAGGCACGGGUCGCCGUCCACACACACGAGCUGUUGUGCUGAGCUCUCCGAAGUUGACAUCGAGUUGUCCAGCGUUGGGCAAAGGAUGGUUUUAGUUUCAUAAAGAUUCCAAGUCCAGAGAAUGGGAGAAUUGGAAAUGUUAGUUUGGAAAAUUCUAGCCAAAUUUUGGAGGAAACUGGAAGAAUUCAGGAUGCAGUCCAGAUUACAGGUAGAAAACAAAAUCUCAGAGACAAGAAACAGCACUAGAAUCUGAUAUCCACAAAGAUGUAUUAUCGAAGCCUAUUUUUCUCUCUGUAAUCAUCCCCUGUCUAUCAAAGAUAACCACAGUAAGACUAAUUUGCUUGCAAAUUAAGACUGUUUCCAAAUACUUGGUAUGAUUAUUUACAUAGGUACACAGGAAUAGUGAUUGAUCACAUAGGUGCUUUUCAAAAAUGUUUAUUUGUUUGUUUUUGAGAGAGAGAGAGAGAGAGAGAGAACAGGGGAGGGGCAAAGAGAGACGGAGACACAGAAUCCGAAGCAGGCUCCAGGCUCUGAACUGUCAAGGCAGAACCUGAAGAGGGGCUCAAACCCAUGAACCAUGAGAUCAUGACCUGAGCCGAAGUUGGAUGCUUAACCAACUGAGCCACCCAGACGCCCCCUUAUAGGUGCUUUUAAAUCUACUUUGCUGGAAUGUUUCAUAAAGGAACUCAGAUUAGACUUUCAAAAGCAUCUCCAGGCCAGGAAGCCAAGCCAGUUUUGUGUUGUUAUAGGGAGAACAGAUUAUUUUUAAACUUAUGCAACCACACAUAUUGUCAUGAAAAAUAAGAGUAUUUAAUUAAAAAAUAAAACAAUUUAAAAAGAGAAUAGCAAGAGUUUCUAAUAUCUGGAGGAAUGGGGGAGGGGGAAGAAAAACGUUUCAACCUUUGUUGCAAAGAUACACUUUACCAAACUGUUGUGAGUCAUAGAUAACUUCAGAAGAGGAGAAAAAGGAUCCUUUACAUCUGGAAAACAAGACCUUAAAGAACCAGCAACGCUGUAAAUGAAGUCGUCCAAAUUACAGUCAUCUCUAUCAGUUUGUUCAGUGUUUUGUAAUUAACAAAAUUGUUUUGCUUCAUCUUGAGUUAGCGGCUUUACGACUCAAUCAGUUUUCCAUUAAAGUUUCAGAAAUCCUCACUCAGUUCAGUGCUAUGGUCUUGAGGUUUUCAGAGAACCUGCAUUCUGGACUGCUUGUUAGGGUUGUUCCCAUGAAUGUCUUUGUAAAGGAAGCAUUUUUGCAGGAACGUUUUUUGUGAAAGCAUCAGAAUAAAACAGUAAGUGUCUGUAAAUGGCAAAAGGCUUAAAAAUGGCCAUGGUUAAAGAUGUAGUGAGAGUUCAUUAUAAUGCCUUCGACAAGGAAAUUUGGUUCUUAUUUAAAAAAAAUUUUUUAUGUUCAUUUUUGAGAGAGACAAAGAGAGAGAGAGAGAGAAAGAGCAAGCAGGGGAGGGGCAGAGAGAGAGGGAGACCCAGAAUCUGAAGCAGGUCAGCACAGAGCCUGAUGUGGGGCUCGAACUCCCGAACCCUGAGAUCAUGACCUGAGCUGAAGUUGGAUACUCAACCGACUGAGCCACCCAGAAGCCCCAGAAAUUUGGUUAUUUUAUGUGACAUACAUUUUAAAACAAUAACCUGAAUUACGACAUAACAUUAUAGCAGGACAUGUCAGACUUUAAGAAUUUCAUGGAAUUUCUGGAAUGCUUAUAUUACUAACAUAUAUUUAUACAGGUAUCAGCUAAAGACUUCAUUCUUUAUUUGACAAUGCUUCCCAUGGAAUGUAACAAAACAUAAUUUGUUCAGCAUCUCUUUUAUAAGGAGAGGGAACAAAUCUUUUGAGAUAGUCUAGGGAUCCUUUUUAAAAUCCCAAAGUUAGUUUGGGGUUAAAAGGACUUCAUUUAGGGGCGCCUGGGUGGCGCAGUCGGUUAAGCGUCCGACUUCAGCCAGGUCACGAUCUCGCGGUCCGGGAGUUCGAGCCCCGCAUCGGGCUCUGGGCUGAUGGCUCAGAGCCUGGAGCCUGUUUCCGAUUCUGUGUCUCCCUCUCUCUCUGCCCCUCCCCCGUUCAUGCUCUGUCUCUCUCUGUCCCAAAAAUAAAUAAACGUUGAAAAAAAAAAUUAAAAAAAAAA